Molecule: ribosomal RNA, 27 nt
Filed under: Fusarium cf. equiseti MY-2011
Lineage: Eukaryota; Fungi; Ascomycota; Sordariomycetes; Hypocreales; Nectriaceae
Description: partial 28S large subunit ribosomal RNA
Source: RNAcentral
GUGACCUCGGAUCAGGUAGCAUGCCAU